UGCCCUUUAAUGAAUGUCAUUUUUGUGACUUUUUCCUUCUAGUGCUAUUUUUGAGACAUAAACUUCAAAAGUGCUAUUAUUGACCAUUGCCCAAAUAAAAAUUCGAAUUAACUUUUUUUAAUUAUUAAUAUCUCUUUUACUUUUUAUCUUGUUCUCUUCCAUAACUUCAUCAUCUUUGACGGUAGAUAGAUCUGAAUCGAAGAAUCAAAUCAUCAUCAUCUGUUUGACGUCCUCCGCCGGUUCGUCUUCAAUUCAAAACGAAAGGCAAAAGAAACUGGGUUCUGUCUGUAUGGAAGUCAACACUGGCUUGCGAGAUGCAAUAAGCUGGCUUCCUGACGAGGUCCUGGGAAAGAUCUUGUCCCUACUUCCGACCAAACUUGCUGCUUCAACAUCUGUUCUUGCUAAAGAGUGGAAACAUGUGUUUAGAUUAGUGCAUAAUCUUGAUUUUGAUGACUCUUAACGAGCAAGACUCUGGUUAAGCUGACACUGGGAACACAAAUAUAUCUCGACAAGUUCGAACCAGAUGCGUAUCUUCCAGCGCUUAAGAGCCUCGUCAUAGACUCUAUUGUUUUUGAAGGUGACGAUCUGUGUGAUGUGCUUCUACGUGGUUGUCCUGUGCUGGAGGAGUUAUAUGUACGUCACGAAAAUUGUGAAGGAACCCCAUUCUGUAUAUGUAGUUCGACCAUCAAGAAACUAUGACUUUGAGAUUUUAAGGGGUGGUAUGUCGUUUGACACCCCAAGUCUUGUCUCAACUACCGCGACUAUGCGUUAGAGGAGUACACAGAUGUGAACUUGGCUUCCCUAGUGGAAGCUAGGCUAGAUAUUCUUUUUUCUAUAAGGAUCAAAGAUCCGGAUCUAUCGGGUCUCAUUAUAGGGAUAAGCAACGUCGAGAUCCUGCAUCUUUCUCCCGCUUCUGCUGAUGUCAUUGCUCGAUGUGUUGAAAAUGGACUAGUUUUACCGGUGUUCAAGAAUCUGGUUAGCUUAUCUUUUGGGAGUAACAACAAACGAGGUUGGAAACUGCUGCCGUAUCUGCUUAAGCAGACUCCAAAGCUUGAAACUCUAAUCAUCCAGGGUCUGGAGGGUUACGCAGGCAAUGCUACCAUUCGUCCCUUCCAAGUGAAGGUGGAUGAACUGCUAAAGCGUUGGAUCACUUGAAGAGUUUUCUUGGAUGAUGCCAGAAGUUCAUAAACCAAUAAGGAAGUUUCGUCCAAGUGCAAGAUCGAUGUACUAUGCUUCUUCUAAGCUUGUAUAAAUAUUGUGCAACAUUAAACUCUUAUAUUUAUUUAUGCACAUUGCCCUUGCCGCUUUUCUUUUUGUAAACCCAUAACUUUAUUUGCUUCUCUUAAAGUGGAAUUUAUAAUC
Brassica rapa (field mustard) is the source of this 1362-nucleotide long non-coding RNA. RefSeq lists it as uncharacterized. NCBI's taxonomy places the organism in Eukaryota, Viridiplantae, Streptophyta, Magnoliopsida, Brassicales, Brassicaceae. The record is from RefSeq and is a predicted model, not a curated record.